GACGAACGCUGGCGGCGCGCUUAACACAUGCAAGUCGAACGGAAAGGCCCUGCUUUUGUGGGGUGCUCGAGUGGCGAACGGGUGAGUAACACGUGAGUAACCUGCCCUUGACUUUGGGAUAACUUCAGGAAACUGGGGCUAAUACCGGAUAGGAGCUCCUGCUGCAUGGUGGGGGUUGGAAAGUUUCGGCGGUUGGGGAUGGACUCGCGGCUUAUCAGCUUGUUGGUGGGGUAGUGGCUUACCAAGGCUUUGACGGGUAGCCGGCCUGCGAGGGUGACCGGCCACAUUGGGACUGAGAUACGGCCCAGACUCCUACGGGAGGCAGCAGUGGGGAAUAUUGCACAAUGGGCGGAAGCCUGAUGCAGCAACGCCGCGUGCGGGAUGACGGCCUUCGGGUUGUAAACCGCUUUCGCCUGUGACGAAGCGUGAGUGACGGUAAUGGGUAAAGAAGCACCGGCUAACUACGU
RNAcentral lists this ribosomal RNA (467 nucleotides) under uncultured bacterium. RNAcentral describes it as "partial 16S ribosomal RNA". It matches the Rfam family "Bacterial small subunit ribosomal RNA", at positions 28 to 506 of the family's 1533-position model. The record is from RNAcentral.